GUGGAUAUAAAAUCACUUUUUGCCAACAAUAUUACAUUUUUUGUUGUACAGCUAACAAUAAUAAAUAUGUAGUUGCUACAUAAACAAUUCACAUUUUCUAUCUUUUAAAACAUCACAAAUGUAUAUAUAAAUUAAUAUAUGAUAUAUAUUUGCAAAAGUCAAUACAACUGAAGCACUAAGUAUUUAUUUACAUACUUUCAAAACUAACUACCACUAAAACAUAAUGUGUAUACUUACAAAAAAGAACAAGAACAUCUCUAGAGUCAUAAUUUCUAAUCUAAUAACAAUCCCAAAAGCAAAUUUUCUUCCAGUAACUUGUACAUCGAUGAACCAUAUUGCCAGCUAUGUUGGUUUACUCAUGCUCAUCCUACAAAAGAAGAUAAAUUAUAGUUAUAUCUUUUAUAAAUAAAAACUAUAAAGUACACAUAUCAAAAGAGAGAAUUUAGGCACCAAUAAAUGAUAUAAGAAGAUUUUUAUAAUAUAUACAUAUUAUAGUUGCAUAUGAAUUUUAUAUUCUGCUACUAGUAAGUAGUAAUCAGAACCCAAGUUUAUGACAGUUAUCAUAAUUAAUUGAUCUUUUGACUCUAAAGGAACUAGUAACUUGAAUUUUAAGAUAAAAGAAGACUUUUGAGAUCCCUAAAGCUCCUUUUGGUCAAGAGAGUUUCAUAUACAACAAUUUUUUAUGGUAUUGGUGCUGCGGAACACUCUGUAAUAAUAGCAGUAAACAAGAACUCAUCAAAUAAGAUAGUCGGGUUGCGUCCCGUUAGUAUCCAUAGAUGCUCCUUGACUUCAUGGCCAUGGGUGGGAGUGGAAUUGCUAUCUACUUCAGACAGAUAUUCAGUUUAGAUCUAGUAUUAUACUUCGUCAUUAGUUAAGCCUGUCCGCAUGUUUUGACUACCCACAAGCUAGUAGCCUAGUUAACAGUCGUGGUAUUAGACCUUCGUGAUGUACGCUACUUUCCUAGAAUCAGAAAACUGACAGGUUUCAUCGUGAGACCAGAAUAUAGAAGAAGAGAGCUAACUAUGUACUAUAGAUUUUGCAUAUCGCCACAAAAUCACAUUAGACCUGGCUUCUUUAUUUUCUUUUACCUUUUUUCUCCAAAGUAUAAGAUACUCUCUGUAUAUAAUUUUAGUCUAGAAUCUUUUAAAAGCCCAAGAUCAAACAACUCUUCUUUUUGAGCUCAUAUGACAGAGAACAAAAAAAUUGCAACAUAACACUAUAAAGCCUAAGAGCAAGCGCAUCACCUUUCAAAGGUCCAAGAUCAUGCAACUUUUCUUUUUGAAUUGAGAAGAAUGCAAACAUGACAGUGAACAAUAUCAACAAAGGAAUUUACUUUUACAAGAGUUAGGCAAAGUUUUCUUACCGUGAUGUCAUCCAUAAGUCUUGAACAACUUGCGUCAUCUGAACCACUUAAACUAGAAAUAAUGUUGAGAAUUGCAGCAGAAACUCCAUUCUGUUAAACAUAAUAAAACUACAUAACUUAAUUUGUCGUACAAAUCAAUGGAAAGGAAUUAUAUACGAACAAGGAAGAAACAGAGAUAGUGCGACAAGAGUAAUUUAUGGAUUCGACUACUUUAAUAUCUUCUGUUCCAUAAUCAAAGUGUUUUCUUUUCUCUGUCUCUUUGUUUAAUUCUGUUUAAUCAGAGGGUAUAGAAUCAUUCGCUGUAACAGCAUCACGACACAAGACAAUGGAACUGUCAGCCCAGACGGGAUCUAUUUUACAAUUCUAUACCACAUUUGAGAGAAGCAAUGACCCUAUAGUACCAAGGACAAAAAUAUCAACUCACAUGUCAAUUGUAUCAGCACUGCAUAACAACUGCUGCCAGCAGUUAUUAAGAUAGAUCGAAUUCCUAGAGUUUUCAAGAGAUAAACAAGUAUAAUAAGGAAAUAGGUCAUGAUGCCCAUAAAUAUCACAUUGUUAACACUUCACAGUAACCACUAUCGCAACCACAUGAAAGAAAACUAACAAAAUAACACAUAAACCAUCUUACAGCUUACUUGCAUGUUUACUAAAUUACUACUCCUACUACUUUAAUUUCUAGUGAAGAAAUAUAAACUUGAGAGAGAGAAGUCCACUUAGCUUUUUGGAUUUAAACUAACUUUUUCAAAUUCAUAUUCUUAGAAAAUAUGAUCCAUCAAAAAGAGAGUUUUUAUCUCUAAUGAAUUCUAUAUCUGUGUGUGACGAGACUAACACAUAAAGUGAUGCUACCACUUUUACUCUUGUGUAGUUUGAACGAAAUAUUCUUAGGAUCAAAAGCAAGUAAUUGAAAUACCCCAUUACUUAGUAUAUGUGAUGUUAGUGCCAUCAUGCUCUCUUUCAAUAGUUUUUGGUCACGCAUCAUGGCUUCUCGAUUUUUCCGCUCCCCCUCAAGCUGAAUUUUUACAUCCUUUAGCUGGCAUUCUACACUAUCUCGUUUACGACGCUCUUCUUCUACCUCUUUUUGUUGUGCUUGCAGUUUCUCUUAUAUUCCAUUCAUGGAUCUCCUACUUGUUGACUUAAAUCUCGAUCCUUGACCACGGCAAUAACUUGACGUUUCUCCAAUAACUUUCACAAAUGCAGCACUAACAACUGGGUCCAAAUCAGUAUCCUCUCCAGUAUUGGAUACAUAACAUAUACGAGCUAGAGAUUUUAUAGGGCAGAAUUUUAACAAAUGAAUUAACUUACCUGGUGGUGGGUUUGAGAUUACAUCAACAAUUCCAUCAUUAUUAGAAACAUGCACAUCCAUCAUCAUGAUAGGCUGCAACACAUAUUAAAAGGAAUUAUAUUAUUGGACUAGUCGAACGUACAAGUGAAAUACUUAGAAACAUAAGGCUUUGAGUUGAACUGGAAAGCCAAAUAAUUAGAACAGAUAAGCUAUGGAUAUUAGUGGACGAUAUUAGACAAAUAAAAGUUUCACUUUGAGCUCUGUAUAUUAGGCAGACAGAAUUUCUACUUUGAGACUCAUGUUUAAUGUGGGAAUCACAGAAGUAUUAAUGUCAAGACAGAGUAUGUGCUCUUCUUUAAAAAAAUCGCAUAGGAGCGCCAACUUGAUUCGAUUCAACUAUGGUUGGAUAAUUGUUUUCUUUCACACUUUCUCAUAUAUAAACAGAGUGCAAGGGAAUGAAAUACUAAUUUUCUAAGAUUUUUCAAAUAAUGUAAAUACUUAGUAAAACAGUGCAUUUUUUCCAAAGUUGAAAGCAUCUACAAUUGCAAAUCACUCGUACUACGACCAGUUACUAGUAAUAUUCCACGCUUCUGAUGAUUAAUCCAAAAUUUACUUUACGUUGGAUUCAAUGAAUAGCAAAACACAUGAAUAAAAUAUUCAAGAACCAAAAAUUGGACAGGGGACAUAAAGAAAACUUUUCAUGAACCAAACAUAUCCAACACCAGAAAUAACAGCAAGUAAUUGAUAAACUUCUCACAAAAUCGGUAUUAACACUUGAAGUGUAAAACUAUUGACCUUCAAUAUAAUCUCGUAUCGUAAAAUCCUUCGAGAAAAUAUUAUUUCACAUUCAUAUUAUGCUAGAAGUAACAAUAGAAAAGAUCCAUUAACAAAAAGAACAAGAAAUUGGACAACAAUAAAAGAAAAACUUUAUGCAAAGUUUCUUUCUGAAGCAUAAGGAAUUAGAAGAGAAGAAAUUAUAAAUCGUAUUCUGGAAAAUCAGAAUUUAAGAUACCCAUAACCAACAAAGUACUUCAACGAUAAAAGGCAAUAGAAAACAAUAUUCCAGCAAUUUGAAUAGAGUUCUUACCGGUUCUUCUCCGAUUAGCAGUAAUACGAUGCAGCGAAGAGGAUGAAGCAGAGAAGGAGCUCGUUCAAGAAUUGCUGAUAAGAAAAACCCUAGCCAGAUCGGUGGUUACGAGAGAGUGCGCUAAAAAUUCGAGAAAAGUUAUUAAAAAGCAAAAGGUUUGCCGCGUUUGAUUUUGGCGGAAAACUAAAAAAAAUUAGGCCACCACCCAC
Molecule: long non-coding RNA, 3941 nt
Filed under: Nicotiana tabacum (common tobacco)
Lineage: Eukaryota; Viridiplantae; Streptophyta; Magnoliopsida; Solanales; Solanaceae
Description: long non-coding RNA (NTAB_LNC001883)
Source: RNAcentral